GGCGGCGUGCUUAACACAUGCAAGUCGAGUGCGCGUCUGUAGCAAUACAGAUGGCGCACGGCGCACGGGUGCGUAACACGUGGGUAAUCUGCCCUCUGAUGGGGAAUAACUCGCCGAAAGGCGAGCUAAUUCCGCAUAAUAUUCCGAGAACUUAGGUUUUUGGACUGAAAGGCGUAAGUCGUCGGAGGAGGAGCCCGCGCACGAUUAGCUAGUUGGUAGGGUAAUGGCCUACCAAGGCUUUGAUCGUUAGCUGGUCUGAGAGGAUGGCCAGCCACACUGGAACUGAGACACGGUCCAGACUCCUACGGGAGGCAGCAGUGGGGAAUCUUGCACAAUGGGCGAAAGCCUGAUGCAGCGACGCCGCGUGGGGGAUGAAGCUUUUCGGAGUGUAAACCCCUUUCGAUCCGGACGAAUGCCUCGCAAGAGGAGUGACGGUACGGAUAUAAGAAGCCCCGGCUAACUACGUGCCAGCAGCCGCGGUAAUACGUAGGGGGCCAGCGUUGUUCGGAAUUACUGGGUGUAAAGGGUUCGUANGCGGUGCGGCAAGUUGGGAGUGAAAUCUCUGGGCUCAACCCA
RNAcentral lists this ribosomal RNA (576 nucleotides) under uncultured Acidobacteriota bacterium. Its description in RNAcentral is "bacterial SSU rRNA". It matches the Rfam family "Bacterial small subunit ribosomal RNA", at positions 38 to 616 of the family's 1533-position model. Lineage: Bacteria; Pseudomonadati; Acidobacteriota. The record is from RNAcentral.